RNAcentral lists this ribosomal RNA (468 nucleotides) under uncultured bacterium. Its description in RNAcentral is "partial 16S ribosomal RNA". It matches the Rfam family "Bacterial small subunit ribosomal RNA", at positions 28 to 507 of the family's 1533-position model. The record is from RNAcentral.
GACGAACGCUGGCGGCGUGCUUAACACAUGCAAGUCGAACGGAAAGGCCCUGCUUUUGUGGGGUGCUCGAGUGGCGAACGGGUGAGGAACACGAGAGUAACCUGCCCUUGACUUUGGGAUAACUUCAGGAAACGGGGGCGAAGACCGGACAGGAGCUCCUGCUGCAGUGGGGGGGUGGGAAAGUGUCGGCGGUUGGGGAUGGACUCGCGGCUUAUCAGCUUGUUGGUGGGGUAGUGGCUGACCAAGGCUUUGACGGGUAGCCGGCCUGAGAGGGUGACCGGCCACAUUGGGACUGAGAUACGGCCCAGACUCCUACGGGAGGCAGCAGUGGGGAAUAUUGCACAAUGGGCGGAAGCCUGAUGCAGCAACGCCGCGUGCGGGAUGACGGCCUUCGGGUUGUAAACCGCUUUCGCCUGUGACGAAGCGUGAGUGACGGUAAUGGGUAAAGAAGCACCGGCUAACUACGUG